CACGGGGGGAGCAAGCGUUGUUCGGAAUCACUGGGCGUAAAGGGCGUGUAGGCGGUCAAGUAAGUGGAAUGUGAAAUCCCUCGGCUUACCCGAGGACCUGCAUCCCAAACUGCUUGGCUUGAGUACGGGAGAGGAUGAGGGAAUUCCUGGUGUAGCGGUGAAAUGCGUAGAUAUCAGGAGGAACACCGGUGGCGAAGGCGGCUCUCUGGGACGGUACUGACGCUGAGACGCGAAAGCGUGGGGAGCGAACAGG
RNAcentral lists this ribosomal RNA (253 nucleotides) under uncultured bacterium. RNAcentral's name for it is "partial 16S ribosomal RNA". It matches the Rfam family "Bacterial small subunit ribosomal RNA", at positions 524 to 776 of the family's 1533-position model. The record is from RNAcentral.